This is a long non-coding RNA of Labeo rohita (rohu), 548 nucleotides long. RefSeq lists it as uncharacterized. The transcript has 4 exons. The record is from RefSeq and is a predicted model, not a curated record. NCBI's taxonomy places the organism in Eukaryota, Metazoa, Chordata, Actinopteri, Cypriniformes, Cyprinidae.
GUCAGGUCGAUUAACCUCCACAGCUCUGCCAACACAGACACGUCCAUCUGAGGAGAGAAGGAGACCGCAAAACACAACACAAUGCGUGAGCUCUCAUCUGCAUGACAUUUUAGGUACUGUCAGAGUACUCCCACAUUUGUUCAGACCAAACACACGCACACGGCUGAAAUAAUAAGAAGUUAGAAGUGCAGUAUGUAAUACUACAAUAUUGGAAAGACUUGGUUCUCCAACACCUCCUUCUCAGACUUGACGCUCAAGUAGGUUGACAGAUUAAGAACAUGUAACAGGAAUGAACCAACGAAAGGUGACGCAUCUUACGCUCCACGGGAAGGGCAUCCGGAGGUAACUUAAGUUUACACAAGGAUCUGGAUCUACGAAUCCCUUAUGAAGGUUUAAGAUAACCCAACAAUUGAGAAAUGAUGCCUACAACUCUGAGGAGAUCAGAUGACGCCAACCUUGAACCAAUAUUUAAAAUUACCCAACUCACUGUUACGUUGUAAGAAGUUUGAUCACAGCAUAUACAGUUGAGGUCAAAAGUUUACAUACAC